RNAcentral lists this ribosomal RNA (1317 nucleotides) under Clostridioides difficile. Its description in RNAcentral is "bacterial LSU rRNA". It matches the Rfam family "Bacterial large subunit ribosomal RNA", at positions 925 to 2259 of the family's 2925-position model. Lineage: Bacteria; Bacillati; Bacillota; Clostridia; Peptostreptococcales; Peptostreptococcaceae. The record is from RNAcentral.
GGUAUUGCACCUACCGAAGACUAUCAAACUCCGAAUGCCGUCAUCUUAUACUUGGGAGUCAGACUGUGGGUGAUAAGAUUCAUAGUCGAAAGGGCAACAGCCCAGAUCGUCAGCUAAGGUCCCUAAAUGUAAGUUAAGUGGUAAAGGAUGUGGGAUUGCACAGACAACCAGGAUGUUGGCUUAGAAGCAGCCACUCAUUCAAAGAGUGCGUAAUAGCUCACUGGUCGAGUGAUCCUGCGCCGAAGAUUUCCGGGGCUAAAACUUACUACCGAAGCUACGGCAUCAGUAAUGAUGGGUAGGGGAGCUUCCCAUACGGGUUGAAGCAUGACCGUAAGGACAUGUGGACAGUAUGGGAGUGAGAAUGUUGGCAUGAGUAGCGAGAUGUGGGUGAGAAUCCCACAGGCCGUAAACCCAAGGUUUCCAGGGGAAGGUUCGUCCGCCCUGGGUUAGUCGGGACCUAAGCUGAGGCCGAAAGGCGUAGGUGAUGGACAACAGGUUGAUAUUCCUGUACUACCGAUAACCGUUUGAGAGAAGGGAUGACACAGUAGGAUAAGCUAAGCACACUGUUGGUUAUGUGUGCCCAAGCAUUGAGGCAGUCAAAGUAGGCAAAUCCGCUUUGAUAAUGCUGGGAUGUGAUGGGGAGCGAAAUUUAGUAGCGAAGUAGCUGAUUUCACACUGUCAAGAAAAGUCUCUAUCGAGGUUAAAGGUACCCGUACCGCAAACCGACACAGGUGGGUGAGGAGAGUAUCCUAAGGCCAGCGAGAGAACUGUUGUUAAGGAACUCGGCAAAAUGACCCCGUAACUUAGGGAUAAGGGGUGCCACCAUCAGGUGGCCGCAGAGAAUAGGCCCAAGCGACUGUUUACCAAAAACAUAGGUUUCUGCUAAGUCGCAAGACGAUGUAUAGGAGCUGACGCCUGCCCGGUGCUGGAAGGUUAAGGGGAUCUGUUAGAGCAAUCGAAGCAGUGAACUUAAGCCCCAGUAAACGGCGGCCGUAACUAUAACGGUCCUAAGGUAGCGAAAUUCCUUGUCGGGUAAGUUCCGACCCGCACGAAAGGCGUAACGAUUUGGGCACUGUCUCAACAACAGACUCGGUGAAAUUGUAAUUCCGGUGAAGAUGCCGGAUACCUGCGACAGGACGGAAAGACCCCAUGGAGCUUUACUGUAGCUUGACAUUGGGUCUUGGUACUACAUGUACAGGAUAGGUGGGAGGCUUUGAAACCAGGACGCCAGUUUUGGCGGAGCCAUCCUUGGGAUACCACCCUUGUAGUACUGGGACUCUAACCAUAGGCCAUGAAUCUGGUCUUGGGACACUGUCA